Molecule: ribosomal RNA, 253 nt
Filed under: uncultured bacterium
Lineage: Bacteria
Description: partial 16S ribosomal RNA
Rfam family: Bacterial small subunit ribosomal RNA
Source: RNAcentral
CACGGGGGGGGCAAGCGUUGUUCGGAAUUACUGGGCGUAAAGGGCUCGUAGGUGGCCAACUAAGUCAGACGUGAAAUCCCUCGGCUUAACCGGGGAACUGCGUCUGAUACUGGAUGGCUUGAGUUUGGGAGAGGGAUGCGGAAUUCCAGGUGUAGCGGUGAAAUGCGUAGAUAUCUGGAGGAACACCGGUGGCGAAGGCGGCAUCCUGGACCAACACUGACGCUGAUGAGCGAAAGCGUGGGGAGCGAACAGG